UACGGGGGGAGCAAGCGUUGUUCGGAUUUACUGGGCGUAAAGGGCGCGUAGGCGGCCACGACAAGUCACUUGUGAAAUCUCCGGGCUUAACCCGGAACGGUCAAGUGAUACUGUCGGGCUAGAGUGCAGAAGGGGCAACUGGAAUUCUCGGUGUAGCGGUGAAAUGCGUAGAUAUGUGGAGGAACACCGAUGGCGAAGGCAG
This 202-nucleotide ribosomal RNA is filed under the name uncultured prokaryote. RNAcentral's name for it is "partial 16S ribosomal RNA". It matches the Rfam family "Bacterial small subunit ribosomal RNA", at positions 524 to 724 of the family's 1533-position model. The record is from RNAcentral.